GUCGGCUGAGUACAGCAAUACCCCUGUAUGUACCUUUGCCAGGUAUGUGUGGACAUCGGAAGGGCACAUUUGGGACACAGCCAUUCCAGUUUUUUUUCAAACUUUGAAUUUUUAUGCUGUGCCUAUGUCCCAUUUUAGAGUAUUUUACCAGGCUAUAUAAACCAAAUACCCCAUAAAGCCAUACCAUUUCUUAAAGAAGACAUCCCAGGGUAUUUCAAAAGGCAUAUUUUGAACCUUAGCGUGGGAUCAUUUUUCCGCUAGCUUGUACCAAGUGUAGUGGUAAUAAGCAUUUUUU
Non-coding RNA from Pelobates cultripes (western spadefoot toad), 295 nucleotides. Lineage: Eukaryota; Metazoa; Chordata; Amphibia; Anura; Pelobatidae. The record is from the annotation of a GenBank genome assembly.